GUGAAUCAUCGAAUCUUUGAACGCACAUUGCACCCUCUAGCAUUCUGGGGGGUAUGCCUGUUCGAGCGUCAUUUCAACCUCAAGCACUGCUUGGUAUUGGAUGCCAUCACCCAUGUGGUGCCUCUUAAAAGCAUUGGCGGUAGCAUUAAGCUUCUAGUGUAGUAAUUUUCUUGCUUUGGAGUUGAGUGUGACUGCUGGAAUUUUUAUUUAUCAAUGGUUGACCUCGGAUCAGGCAGGGAUACCCGCUGAACUUAAGCAUAUCAAUAAGCGGAGGA
Molecule: unclassified non-coding RNA, 275 nt
Filed under: Leotiomycetes sp.
Lineage: Eukaryota; Fungi; Ascomycota; Leotiomycetes
Description: partial contains 5.8S ribosomal RNA, internal transcribed spacer 2, and large subunit ribosomal RNA
Rfam family: 5.8S ribosomal RNA (bases 1-71)
Source: RNAcentral